This 209-nucleotide ribosomal RNA is filed under the name uncultured Latescibacterota bacterium. RNAcentral's name for it is "uncultured Latescibacteria bacterium partial 16S ribosomal RNA". It matches the Rfam family "Bacterial small subunit ribosomal RNA", at positions 568 to 774 of the family's 1533-position model. Lineage: Bacteria; Pseudomonadati; Candidatus Latescibacterota. The record is from RNAcentral.
CGUGUAGGCGGUCAGGUAAGUGGAAUGUGAAAUGCCCCGGCUCACCCGGGGACCGGCAUCCCAAACUGCCUGGCUUGAGUAUGGGAGAGGGAUGGAGGAAUUCCUGGUGUAGCGGUGAAAUGCGUAGAUAUCAGGAGGAACACCGGUGGCGAAGGCGUCCAUCUGGCCCAAUACUGACGCUGAGGCGCGAAAGCUAGGGGGAGCAAACG